UACGUAGGAGACGAGCGUUGUCCGGAAUCACUGGGCGUAAAGCGCGUGUAGGCGGAUGGGUAAGUCUGCUGUGAAAGCUCCUGGCUUAACCGGGAGUGGUCGGUGGAAACUGCCAAUCUGGAGGACGGUAGAGGUAGGUAGAAUUCCCGGUGUAGUGGUGAAAUGCGUAGAGAUCGGGAGGAAUACCUGUGGCGAAGGCGGCCUACUGGGCCGGACCUGACGCUGAGACGCGAAGGCGUGGGGAGCGAACGGG
This 253-nucleotide ribosomal RNA is filed under the name uncultured bacterium. RNAcentral describes it as "partial 16S ribosomal RNA". It matches the Rfam family "Bacterial small subunit ribosomal RNA", at positions 524 to 776 of the family's 1533-position model. The record is from RNAcentral.